This is a long non-coding RNA of Felis catus (domestic cat), 1302 nucleotides long. RefSeq lists it as uncharacterized. The record is from RefSeq and is a predicted model, not a curated record. Lineage: Eukaryota; Metazoa; Chordata; Mammalia; Carnivora; Felidae. The transcript is spliced from 2 exons.
GAGAGAGAGAGAGAGAGAGAGAAAGAGAGAGAAUCCCAAGCAGGCUCCAUGCUCUGCUUGGAGCCCAACACAGGGAUCCCCCUCACUACCCUGGGAUCACAACCAGAGCUGAUAUCUAGAGUCCAACGCUGAACCGACUGAGCCACCCAGGUGCCCCACAUUGUCAAGGUUUUUAACAUUUAUUUCUGUAAUGAAUGUACAUCCUCAGUGUUUCGUUGAUUCUCACACAUUUUCAGGGAAACGGGAGUUGUUCUGAUUUUCGGUUGGUUGGUUUUCUUUUUUCCCUUCCUCUCUGGAAGCAUUCAGAAUGUUUUCUGUACCUUCUGUGUUCUCAAAUUUUACAGCUUAGAGUCAAUGGUAGAAUAUGUAUGUAUGUAUGUAUGUAUGAAUGUAUUUUCAUUUAUCCUGCUCAGAAUUCAACGUCACUUUUAACCAGCAAACUUAUGUUUUUCUUGAGUUCAGUUGAAAUGGUCUGCAAUUAUCUUAGGUAUUAAGUCUCAAUUUGGUGACAUGGGCUUAGCACAAGUGACUCCAUUUUGGAUUUAUUCUCUCUCUCUUUUUUUAAACUGUAAUAUAAAAUAUAUUUAGUCUCCAGCCCCGUUCCCAGCACAAAGCUCCUAAAAUCAUUGGAAUUUCCUAAGUGAUUAAGAGUGAUAAAAGUGUCAUUUAUCAUUCAUAACAAGCUGCUUUCAACCACACCUAAGAUUAUGUUAAUGAGAUGACUUUUGGAAAACCCCUCUGGAUGGGGUCUGGUUGCCAGAAGAACAACAAAAUUAGAUGGUUGGAACUUGCAACCCCACAUCCCCUCAAAUCCCCUUACAACACCUCUGGGGAGGGGAGAAGAGAUAGAGGUUGAAUCAAUCACCAAUGGCCAAUGAGUUCAUCAAUCAUGCCUAUGUAAUGAAGCCUCCAUAAAAACCCAAAAGGACAGAACUCAAAGAGGUAAUAGUGAACAAGAAUAAAUGCACAUUCUAGAAGGAUGACUAAACUCCACAGGGACAAAAGCUUCUGUCUUCAGAACCUGACAGACCUUGCUCUAUGUAUCUCAACAUCUGGUUGUUAGUGUCCUUGAACAUCUUUUGUAAUAAACCUGUAAUCUAUAAAAUUUGUUAGAGCAAAAUCUAGUCCGUCUAGUGUCCUAAUGAGAGGACCCAGUUAAAGAAACCAAGAAGGAGCAGUGAGCAAAAUGAGAGGACAGCAAGGAAGAGAAAAUCAUGUGAUCAUGAAAAUUAAAGAAGCCAUGGGGAAUUUGUCACUAAUAAAACAACAAAAAUUCAGUAAAACUUUUAUCCUCAUUGAUAA